This 22-nucleotide non-coding RNA is filed under the name Arabidopsis thaliana (thale cress). The record is from RNAcentral. Lineage: Eukaryota; Viridiplantae; Streptophyta; Magnoliopsida; Brassicales; Brassicaceae.
CAGAAUCGCUUGUUUGUGCCAU